RNAcentral lists this ribosomal RNA (785 nucleotides) under Plasmodium ovale (malaria parasite P. ovale). The stretch from base 405 to 785 matches the Rfam family "Eukaryotic large subunit ribosomal RNA", at positions 955 to 1444 of the family's 3401-position model. Lineage: Eukaryota; Apicomplexa; Aconoidasida; Haemosporida; Plasmodiidae. The record is from RNAcentral.
UUAUUUUCGAAAUAUCAUCUCGUGAUCGCUGAAGUUGUGAUAGUAUCCUACUAUAUAUAAUUUUUUUGUCUUAAGUGCUUAACAUUUGAAGAUUUAAGGAAAUGGACAUUGUAGAGUUUUGCCGUUUAACCAGAGGCAAAGAUUUAGGGUUUGGAUUUGAGCGUUUUGCUUACUUUUAGACUCUUUAUCUUAAGGUGGUGGUUUUUUAACUCUCUUUGUUGAAUCAUCAAAUUGCACAUGAAAGAAAAAAAAUAUAAGUACAAAAAGAAGUAAAGUGAAAAUAUGAGAAGUGUGAUAUUUUUAUAUUGCGGAGAAGUGUGUUUUCUUUUUGGAGACACUUUUGGGAUGCACCUUAUAAAAAUUAGUCUUUGUGGAAAAUUUAUUUUUCACCAUUUCUUAUAUAUUUACUUUCAUGAAAUAAGAUAGCUUCAAGUGUGCUAAUUUUUUUUUUUUAAAAAAAAAAAGAAACUAGCAAUGAGGGAUGUACCCUAGAGCUUGGAUAAGGUGCCUAAAUAUUCGCUCUUAAAACAUAUCUAUGAAAAAAUAUGUGGGAAUAUUUUACGUUGACAGUAAGGAUGGUAAUCUUUUAUAGUAGGUAUCCACUAAGGAAUGUGUACAAACUCACCUGCUUAGUAAUUAUUCUUCUUAUUACGGAUAUAGCGUUACAGUGAAUUACCGAUACCGAGCCAUAAAAGGAUAUUUUGUAAAAUCUUUUUAUGUGUAGAAAAUCGUGGGAUAUGUGCAGAAGCGUUAGACGUGAGUUGGCGUGGAACAUUUUCCUAGUG